CAAAAUUUAGCCGAAGCCCUACUCGCAGGGUCUGGCUUACAGAACCCCUCAGGCACGGGCUAAAAGCGCCGCCGGAGCCAGGGGUUGCGGGCGACGCCCGCGUCCGCCCGCAUAGGGGCUACGGUCGCGGCUGCGGCAGGAGGUGCGGCCUGCGCGCCGGAAGUGAGCGGCCGGGGAGCCCGGCGCGGCUCGGCGCGGCUGGGCGGGGCUGAGGCGAAGGCGACGCUCUGCAGGCGCUGCCGCCGCCGCCGGACCAGGACGCGCCGGGGCUGGGUGGGGGCGGCUCCCGCGGAGGAGGAGCGGGCAAGCGGCAGGGGAAGGGGCAGGGACGGAGCCGGCGCGCGGGGUCGCUGCGCCCGGCAGAGCAGCAGCAACAGCAGGAGGAGGAGGAGGGCGAGAGCAGCCAGGCGCCGCCGCGAACACAGUGCCAAUUAUGACUGGACUGAGACCUUAACAAAGAGGACAGGGAUUCAUUCAAUGGAUGGAGCUUUUCUCCCAUUUUUAGAUACAUCUACAAUGAGGAAGCUUCCUGGUACGGAAGGAAAGGUGGGCAGCUGCAGAAAGAAAUGUAAAGCAACCAUUCCCUUCCAGCAAUGUUGUGGGGAGGAAGAGGAGUUAAACAAAAGGAAGACCAGCUUGGAGUAACUCACAGGACAUCUUCUUGUUAGGUGCAGAACAAGAGUGAAUGAGUUUACAGUGCUUUCCAUACUAUUUAAAAACGGAAGUUGGUAAAGCACCACUCAGCUCAGUUUGUGUAUUAUACUUGUUUUUAAAGAAGUCAAUCAGUUCUCUUAACUGGAGCUAAAAAAGGCAGAUGUAAUGCUGGUGAUUUGUUGGUAGUAUAUCAGUUGUUUUUUAGUUGCAGUUACAGUUAAGGCAAAGCUUAAACAGUGUCCCCAAGAAGCAAACUAAAGAUGAACUUGAGAACAGCUUAUCACUACUUUGCCUUUGAUCAGCUUGUGGUUGUAAAUACAAGAUUUUAGUCACCCAUUACUUCUGGGAGUGAUUGGUCAAUGUGCCUACUGGAGUUUAAAGUCCACUACUGAGCAAAUAAAGAAGUUAAUACUCUGCA
Molecule: long non-coding RNA, 1072 nt
Filed under: Crocodylus porosus (Australian saltwater crocodile)
Lineage: Eukaryota; Metazoa; Chordata; Crocodylia; Crocodylidae
Description: lncRNA (ENSCPRG00005001648.1)
Source: RNAcentral